ACAUGCAAGUCGUACGCACUGGCCCAACUGAUUGAUGGUGCUUGCACCUGAUUGACGAUGGAUCACCAGUGAGUGGCGGACGGGUGAGUAACACGUAGGCAACCUGCCUCGGAGCGGGGGAUAACAUUUGGAAACAGAUGCUAAUACCGCAUAACAACAAAAGCCACAUGGCUUUUGUUUGAAAGAUGGCUUUGGCUAUCACUCUGGGAUGGACCUGCGGUGCAUUAGCUAGUUGGUAAGGUAACGGCUUACCAAGGCAAUGAUGCAUAGCCGAGUUGAGAGACUGAUCGGCCACAAUGGAACUGAGACACGGUCCAUACUCCUACGGGAGGCAGCAGUAGGGAAUCUUCCACAAUGGGCGCAAGCCUGAUGGAGCAACACCGCGUGAGUGAAGAAGGGUUUCGGCUCGUAAAGCUCUGUUGUUGGAGAAGAACGUGCGUGAGAGUAACUGUUCACGCAGUGACGGUAUCCAACCAGAAAGUCACGGCUAACUACGUGCCAGCAGCCGCGGUAAUACGUAGGUGGCAAGCGUUAUCCGGAUUUAUUGGGCGUAAAGCGAGCGCAGGCGGUUGCUUAGGUCUGAUGUGAAAGCCUUCGGCUUAACCGAAGAAGUGCAUCGGAAACCGGGCGACUUGAGUGCAGAAGAGGACAGUGGAACUCCAUGUGUAGCGGUGGAAUGCGUAGAUAUAUGGAAGAACACCAGUGGCGAAGGCGGCUGUCUGGUCUGCAACUGACGCUGAGGCUCGAAAGCAUGGGUAGCGAACAGGAUUAGAUACCCUGGUAGUCCAUACCGUAAACGAUGAGUGCUAGGUGUUGGAGGGUUUCCGCCCUUCAGUGCCGGAGCUAACGCAUUAAGCACUCCGCCUGGGGAGUACGACCGCAAGGUUGAAACUCAAAGGAAUUGACGGGGGCCCGCACAAGCGGUGGAGCAUGUGGUUUAAUUCGAAGCUACGCGAAGAACCUUACCAGGUCUUGACAUCUUGCGCUAACCUUAGAGAUAAGGCGUUCCCUUUGGGGACGCAAUGACAGGUGGUGCAUGGUCGUCGUCAGCUCGUGUCGUGAGAUGUUGGGUUAAGUCCCGCAACGAGCGCAACCCUUGUUACUAGUUGCCAGCAUUAAGUUGGGCACUCUAGUGAGACUGCCGGUGACAAACCGGAGGAAGGUGGGGACGACGUCAGAUCAUCAUGCCCCUUAUGACCUGGGCUACACACGUGCUACAAUGGACGGUACAACGAGUCGCAAGCUCGCGAGAGUAAGCUAAUCUCUUAAAGCCGUUCUCAGUUCGGACUGUAGGCUGCAACUCGCCUACACGAAGUCGGAAUCGCUAGUAAUCGCGGAUCAGCAUGCCGCGGUGAAUGCGUUCCCGGGCCUUGCACACACCGCCCGUCA
RNAcentral lists this ribosomal RNA (1389 nucleotides) under uncultured bacterium. RNAcentral's name for it is "bacterial SSU rRNA". It matches the Rfam family "Bacterial small subunit ribosomal RNA", at positions 53 to 1399 of the family's 1533-position model. The record is from RNAcentral.